This 253-nucleotide ribosomal RNA is filed under the name uncultured bacterium. Its description in RNAcentral is "partial 16S ribosomal RNA". It matches the Rfam family "Bacterial small subunit ribosomal RNA", at positions 524 to 776 of the family's 1533-position model. The record is from RNAcentral.
UACGAAGGGGGCGAGCGUUGUUCGGAAUUACUGGGCGUAAAGGGCGCGCAGGCGGUCCUUCAAGUCAGAUGUGAAAGCCCCGGGCUCAACCUGGGAACUGCAUUUGAGACUGGAGGACUUGAGGACGGGAGAGGAGAGUGGAAUUCCCAGUGUAGAGGUGAAAUUCGUAGAUAUUGGGAAGAACACCUAUGGCGAAGGCAGCUCUCUGGGACGGUACUGACGCUGAGACGCGAAAGCGUGGGGAGCGAACAGG